GAUGAACGCUGGCGGCGUGCUUAACACAUGCAAGUCGAACGGAAAGGCUCCUGCUUGCAGGGGUACUCGAGUGGCGAACGGGUGAGUAACACGUGGGUGAUCUGCCCUGCACUUCGGGAUAAGCCUGGGAAACUGGGUCUAAUACCGGAUAGGACGAUGGUUUGGAUGCCAUUGUGGGAAGUUUUUCGGUGUGGGAUGAGCUCGCGGCCUAUCAGCUUGUUGGUGGGGUAAUGGCCUACCAAGGCGUCGACGGGUAGCCGGCCUGAGAGGGUGUACGGCCACAUUGGGACUGAGAUACGGCCCAGACUCCUACGGGAGGCAGCAGUGGGGAAUAUUGCACAAUGGGCGGAAGCCUGAUGCAGCGACGCCGCGUGGGGGAUGACGGCCUUCGGGUUGUAAACCCCUUUCGCUAGGGACGAAGCGCAAGUGACGGUAAAUGGAGAAGAAGCACCGGCUAACUACGUG
Molecule: ribosomal RNA, 465 nt
Filed under: uncultured bacterium
Lineage: Bacteria
Description: partial 16S ribosomal RNA
Rfam family: Bacterial small subunit ribosomal RNA
Source: RNAcentral